UAAAGUUAUGAGAGAGAGAAGGAAAGAAGAAGGGAAUAUUUGAAAGACAAGCAACCAAAAAAAAGGGGAAAAGAAAAGUGGAUUUGGGUAUGUCUGAAUGUUGGGAGGUGAAGAUAAACAAAUAAGACAUGAGAGGUAGCUGCUGUCAAGGAAAUAUUACUGUAUAUACCAAGAAAACGUUGGAGUAAUGUCUUCAUUAUGCAGUUAUAUAUAUAUCAUUCACUUUAAACGGCUAAGUACAGGAUCUUGUUGGUAGUCGUCGUCGUCGUCGCGUCGGUGGAAGUUGAAGGAAAACACCUCGAAAACAAAACAAGAAAAGCCACAUGAUUUGAAAUGUUUUUCAAAGUACAAGAAACCAAAAACACAGAAAAUGAGUUGGAUGGAAAAAGAAUAUGUAUAGAAUAUGAUAUACACACGCAUAUCUGGUCUCAUGGGAUGGGUAUUUCUCAGAGUCUGUCUAUGGAUUAAAUAAUGAAAAAGAGAUUUCUGUCUUCAGAUAAUUGGGUGUGUGGUCAUGUCUAUCACAACUCAAAUGUAAUUAUUUAAUCAAUAUUGACCAUUUAUUGGACCAGGUCAGUGUCUAGAGGGAGUGGGAGACAAUCUUACCUCCCAGCUAUCUUCUAUCAUUCGUAUUUCGAUUAUAUAAUAUAAUCCAUAGUUGUAUACACCCAACCAAUUGGUAUUAAAAUAAAACAAGAAGAUAUACUUACUUUUUCCCAUGA
Molecule: long non-coding RNA, 722 nt
Organism: Cucumis sativus (cucumber)
Lineage: Eukaryota; Viridiplantae; Streptophyta; Magnoliopsida; Cucurbitales; Cucurbitaceae
Exons: 2
Source: RefSeq, a predicted model, not a curated record